GCGGGGAAAGAAGACCCUGUUGAGUUUGACUCUAGUCCGACUUUGUGAAAUGACUUAGAAGGUGUAGCAUAAGUGGGAGAGCAAUCGACCUUGAAAUACCACUACUUUUAACGUCAUUUUACUUAUUCCAUGAGUUGGAGUAUGGAUUCGUCCAUUCUUCUCGACCUACGUCCGUUCAUUCGGACAAUCCAGGUGGAAGACAUAGUCAGGUGGGGAGUUUGGCUGGGGAGGCACAUCUGCUAAAAGAUAACGCAGGUGUCCUAA
Molecule: ribosomal RNA, 264 nt
Filed under: Picochlorum sp. RCC944
Lineage: Eukaryota; Viridiplantae; Chlorophyta; Trebouxiophyceae
Description: partial Eukaryotic large subunit ribosomal RNA
Rfam family: Eukaryotic large subunit ribosomal RNA
Source: RNAcentral